This 356-nucleotide transfer-messenger RNA is filed under the name Nitratireductor basaltis. RNAcentral's name for it is "Alphaproteobacteria transfer-messenger RNA". It matches the Rfam family "Alphaproteobacteria transfer-messenger RNA". From Rfam's summary of the family: Bacterial tmRNA, also known as 10Sa RNA or SsrA, is named for its dual tRNA and mRNA-like properties. Its role is to liberate the mRNA from a stalled ribosome. To accomplish this part of the tmRNA is used as a reading frame that ends in a translation stop signal. The record is from Rfam by way of RNAcentral. Lineage: Bacteria; Pseudomonadati; Pseudomonadota; Alphaproteobacteria; Hyphomicrobiales; Phyllobacteriaceae.
GCCCUUUAAUUGCCUGUCACAUAUCUCUAUAUUCACGCCGUCGGCUUGACCGACUAUGGCGAUAAACUGCCGAUGCAAUAAACCUAUCGGACCCGGGGGCGGUACCCGGCGCCUCCACCAAAAACCGCUCGACCAAAGCGGCUUUUGCUGGGGGCGAAACAGGAUCGACGAGGGUGUAAAGAUCGGACUUUCGCUCGGCAUUGUACCACCGUUAUCGGGCUAACCUAGUAGUUGCAAACGACAACUAUGCGGAAGCACGUCUCGCUGCGUAAGCAGUGCGACAGCUUCAAAUUAAGUCUUAAGCCUUCGCAGGCUUAAGCGGGGUCCGGAGGCACCUGGCAACAGAAGCCUCCACU